GUCUAUGGCCAUACCACCCUGAAAACGCCCGAUCUCGUCUGAUCUCGGAAGCUAAGAAAUAAGUGUGGAUAUCUGUCAGGAAAUUGUGAGGAAUCUCACAAAGCAUCCUGCAUUCCUGAUACUAUGGUCU
This 130-nucleotide ribosomal RNA is filed under the name Erinaceus europaeus (western European hedgehog). The record is from RNAcentral. Lineage: Eukaryota; Metazoa; Chordata; Mammalia; Eulipotyphla; Erinaceidae.